This 2783-nucleotide ribosomal RNA is filed under the name Bacillus cereus. Its description in RNAcentral is "bacterial LSU rRNA". It matches the Rfam family "Bacterial large subunit ribosomal RNA". Lineage: Bacteria; Bacillati; Bacillota; Bacilli; Caryophanales; Bacillaceae. The record is from RNAcentral.
GGUUAAGUUAGAAAGGGCGCACGGUGGAUGCCUUGACACUAGGAGUCGAUGAAGGACGGGACUAACGCCGAUAUGCUUCGGGGAGCUGUAAGUAAGCUUUGAUCCGAAGAUUUCCGAAUGGGGAAACCCACCAUACGUAAUGGUAUGGUAUCCUUAUCUGAAUACAUAGGGUAAGGAAGACAGACCCAGGGAACUGAAACAUCUAAGUACCUGGAGGAAGAGAAAGCAAAUGCGAUUUCCUGAGUAGCGGCGAGCGAAACGGAACAUAGCCCAAACCAAGAGGCUUGCCUCUUGGGGUUGUAGGACAUUCUAUACGGAGUUACAAAGGAACGAGGUAGACGAAGCGACCUGGAAAGGUCCGUCGUAGAGGGUAACAACCCCGUAGUCGAAACUUCGUUCUCUCUUGAAUGUAUCCUGAGUACGGCGGAACACGUGAAAUUCCGUCGGAAUCUGGGAGGACCAUCUCCCAAGGCUAAAUACUCCCUAGUGAUCGAUAGUGAACCAGUACCGUGAGGGAAAGGUGAAAAGCACCCCGGAAGGGGAGUGAAAGAGAUCCUGAAACCGUGUGCCUACAAAUAGUCAGAGCCCGUUAACGGGUGAUGGCGUGCCUUUUGUAGAAUGAACCGGCGAGUUACGAUCCCGUGCGAGGUUAAGCUGAAGAGGCGGAGCCGCAGCGAAAGCGAGUCUGAAUAGGGCGUUUAGUACGUGGUCGUAGACCCGAAACCAGGUGAUCUACCCAUGUCCAGGGUGAAGUUCAGGUAACACUGAAUGGAGGCCCGAACCCACGCACGUUGAAAAGUGCGGGGAUGAGGUGUGGGUAGCGGAGAAAUUCCAAUCGAACCUGGAGAUAGCUGGUUCUCCCCGAAAUAGCUUUAGGGCUAGCCUUAAGUGUAAGAGUCUUGGAGGUAGAGCACUGAUUGGACUAGGGGUCCUCAUCGGAUUACCGAAUUCAGUCAAACUCCGAAUGCCAAUGACUUAUCCUUAGGAGUCAGACUGCGAGUGAUAAGAUCCGUAGUCAAAAGGGAAACAGCCCAGACCGCCAGCUAAGGUCCCAAAGUGUGUAUUAAGUGGAAAAGGAUGUGGAGUUGCUUAGACAACUAGGAUGUUGGCUUAGAAGCAGCCACCAUUUAAAGAGUGCGUAAUAGCUCACUAGUCGAGUGACUCUGCGCCGAAAAUGUACCGGGGCUAAAUACACCACCGAAGCUGCGGAUUGAUACCGAAUGGUAUCAGUGGUAGGGGAGCGUUCUAAGGACAGUGAAGUCAGACCGGAAGGACUGGUGGAGUGCUUAGAAGUGAGAAUGCCGGUAUGAGUAGCGAAAGACGGGUGAGAAUCCCGUCCACCGAAUGCCUAAGGUUUCCUGAGGAAGGCUCGUCCGCUCAGGGUUAGUCAGGACCUAAGCCGAGGCCGACAGGCGUAGGCGAUGGACAACAGGUUGAUAUUCCUGUACCACCUCUUUAUCGUUUGAGCAAUGGAGGGACGCAGAAGGAUAGAAGAAGCGUGCGAUUGGUUGUGCACGUCCAAGCAGUUAGGCUGAUAAGUAGGCAAAUCCGCUUAUCAUAAAGGCUGAGCUGUGAUGGGGAAGCUCCUUAUGGAGCGAAGUCUUUGAUUCCCCGCUGCCAAGAAAAGCUUCUAGCGAGAUAAAAGGUGCCUGUACCGCAAACCGACACAGGUAGGCGAGGAGAGAAUCCUAAGGUGUGCGAGAGAACUCUGGUUAAGGAACUCGGCAAAAUGACCCCGUAACUUCGGGAGAAGGGGUGCUUUCUUAACGGAAAGCCGCAGUGAAUAGGCCCAAGCGACUGUUUAGCAAAAACACAGCUCUCUGCGAAGCCGUAAGGCGAAGUAUAGGGGGUGACACCUGCCCGGUGCUGGAAGGUUAAGGAGAGGGGUUAGCGUAAGCGAAGCUCUGAACUGAAGCCCCAGUAAACGGCGGCCGUAACUAUAACGGUCCUAAGGUAGCGAAAUUCCUUGUCGGGUAAGUUCCGACCCGCACGAAAGGUGUAACGAUUUGGGCACUGUCUCAACCAGAGACUCGGUGAAAUUAUAGUACCUGUGAAGAUGCAGGUUACCCGCGACAGGACGGAAAGACCCCGUGGAGCUUUACUGUAGCCUGAUAUUGAAUUUUGGUACAGUUUGUACAGGAUAGGCGGGAGCCAUUGAAACCGGAGCGCUAGCUUCGGUGGAGGCGCUGGUGGGAUACCGCCCUGACUGUAUUGAAAUUCUAACCUACGGGUCUUAUCGACCCGGGAGACAGUGUCAGGUGGGCAGUUUGACUGGGGCGGUCGCCUCCUAAAGUGUAACGGAGGCGCCCAAAGGUUCCCUCAGAAUGGUUGGAAAUCAUUCGUAGAGUGCAAAGGCAUAAGGGAGCUUGACUGCGAGACCUACAAGUCGAGCAGGGACGAAAGUCGGGCUUAGUGAUCCGGUGGUUCCGCAUGGAAGGGCCAUCGCUCAACGGAUAAAAGCUACCCCGGGGAUAACAGGCUUAUCUCCCCCAAGAGUCCACAUCGACGGGGAGGUUUGGCACCUCGAUGUCGGCUCAUCGCAUCCUGGGGCUGUAGUCGGUCCCAAGGGUUGGGCUGUUCGCCCAUUAAAGCGGUACGCGAGCUGGGUUCAGAACGUCGUGAGACAGUUCGGUCCCUAUCCGUCGUGGGCGUAGGAAAUUUGAGAGGAGCUGUCCUUAGUACGAGAGGACCGGGAUGGACGCACCGCUGGUGUACCAGUUGUUCUGCCAAGGGCAUAGCUGGGUAGCUAUGUGCGGAAGGGAUAAGUGCUGAAAGCAUCUAAG